This 1514-nucleotide long non-coding RNA is filed under the name Zonotrichia albicollis (white-throated sparrow). Its description in RNAcentral is "lncRNA (ENSZALG00000011071.1)". Lineage: Eukaryota; Metazoa; Chordata; Aves; Passeriformes; Passerellidae. The record is from RNAcentral.
UGAAAGGUGACACGGGACAGCCCCACCUCACUCAACCUGUUUGUCCUGUUGCAGGCACCUGAGGAGGGGGAACCAGCGGCUCCCUCUCCCCUUCAGCUCCCUGCUCCGGCGUUUCUGAGCCCUGCACCUGAGGGAUUCUGUGUGCAGGAACGCCGGGCACCAGGUGAAACAGCGAGGAGGAAGGCAGAGGGUGGCACAGGGCAGCCGAGCAUCCUCCUGCGCUCCAAGAACGAGCAGAGCACGGAACAGCUCCAGGAUUUCAGCAUCCAGCACCAAGGGCUGGAAGUGAGGACACAGGUCUGAACAAACACCGAUAGUUUCAGCUCCUUGCUCUCCAGCUGCCUGAGGGACCUGUGCAAUGGAGGGGGAGACUGAAGGACUGAGACAGAACUGCCUGGACUCAUCGUGAGCCUGGGCACAGAGUUGGAUCCACAUGGAUGUCAAAAGGAGAAAUCCAUCUACUCCUGGCCAUCCAGCCCACCCCAGGAGACCAUCCAGUGCUGGGGAGGGCCAGCAGAUCCUCGCCUUUCUCCAGGGAGGAGGUGCCCAGGGUGGCCCAUGUUCUUCCCCCACACCCUGAGGGACCCAGCUCCUCUGCAGGCAGCUGGUGGCAGCAGUGGCAGCACCAGUUCCAUAACGGGAGCAGAUUCCAGGUCUCCAUGGCUGCUGGGAUUUCCCACUGCUGGUCCCAAGUAUCACCUCGAGAUCUCCAGGAGCCAAAACUCUGCACAAAGCCCUCCUGUUCCCAGAGCCUGACUCUGCCCAGCCCUCAUGGACACCCCCGGGCUGCUGGGCUGGAUGUGUGACACAGGGUCACCUCUCACAGCAGAGGACAUUGGGCCAUGCAGCCCAUGGCAGGGGUGCAUCCCCAGGAGCCACCACUCAGGGGUGUGCAGGGCUGUCCAGCUCCCUCCUGGCUCCCCUGGAAGUACCACCAAUGACCCAUUGCUGUUCAGACAAAAGCCCUCCUGGCGCUUCAUGGGAACACAAGGGAGCACUGGGCAGUACCACACAGCUCCUGGGGAGCUGCCACCCAAGCCCUCACCCCAGAGCUCCAGUCCCUGCCCUUUCUGAGGAAGCCAGGACAGCAGGCUCACAGAUAUUCCUUGUUUACCAACCAGAUGGGAACUCCAGAAAACCUGUGGAGAGGAGAGCAGGGCUGUGCGAGGCUCUCCCAGACCUGCGUUGUCACAACUUCGCCGUUGGUUUGGGGAUUUUGCCAAGAGUUUGGUCCUGCAUCACAGCAGAGGAUGCUCAUCAUGGCAAAGCAUCCCCAUCCUGGCACAGCAUUCCCAGGGUGACAGAGGAUCCCAAUCCCAUCAGAGCAUUCCCGGAGUGACAAAGGAUCCUCAGCCCAUCAGAGCAUCCCGCAUGGCUCCUGGUCUGAAUGGCUGGGGGACAAACCUGAGUUCACUGCCGUGCAUCCCCCAAGGGGUUAAGGACAUGCACGGGGCCAGGCAGGCCCAGGCUGUGGUGUCACCCUUCCGUCCUGCAUCCCCUCCGCAUUCCUUCCC